GUUUAAACAGCUUAAUUUUUAAAGCUUUUCAUUGAAGAUGAAAAAAUUAUAAGAUAAUAUCUUUAAACA
RNAcentral lists this transfer RNA (69 nucleotides) under Colochela zhongi. RNAcentral's name for it is "tRNA-Phe". Lineage: Eukaryota; Metazoa; Arthropoda; Insecta; Hymenoptera; Tenthredinidae. The record is from RNAcentral.